This 253-nucleotide ribosomal RNA is filed under the name uncultured bacterium. RNAcentral's name for it is "partial 16S ribosomal RNA". It matches the Rfam family "Bacterial small subunit ribosomal RNA", at positions 99 to 353 of the family's 1533-position model. The record is from RNAcentral.
CGGACGGGUGAGUAAUGUCUGGGAAACUGCCUGAUCGAGGGGGAUAACUACUGGAAACGGUAGCUAAUACCGCAUAACGUCGCAAGACCAAAGAGGGGGACCUUCGGGCCUCUUGCCAUCGGAUGUGCCCAGAUGGGAUUAGCUAGUAGGUGGGGUAACGGCUCACCUAGGCGACGAUCCCUAGCUGGUCUGAGAGGAUGACCAGCCACACUGGAACUGAGACACGGUCCAGACUCCUACGGGAGGCAGCAUG